Molecule: long non-coding RNA, 737 nt
Organism: Solanum dulcamara
Lineage: Eukaryota; Viridiplantae; Streptophyta; Magnoliopsida; Solanales; Solanaceae
Exons: 2
Source: RefSeq, a predicted model, not a curated record
AAUAUAUCCAAACCAAAUCACCCCCAAAUUCUCCCUACUCACUCCCGAUAUACAAAGAACUUCAAAACCCUAGGUCAUUGGCGUUCUUCUUCGCUCUUCGGUGCUCUUUUUCAUUCGAUCUUUUUCGGCCAAACAAAUCCAACCUCCAAUCAAUUAGUUGUGAUUCCAGCCAUUAUAAUUCUUAUAUCCCUAAAUCAUACUUUAUUUCAUGUCCGAAAUUAGUUGUGAUUCAAUUACUAACUCGAUGAUGACUUAUUUUUGUUGUGAAAUUACUCGUUGUUUCACUUCAAGGAAUUCGUUGAACCCCGGAAGAAGAUUUUAUAGGUAUUCUAAACCUAAGAUUGAAAAUUGUGGAUUUUGAAAGUGGAAAGAUAAUUCUCUGUGAAAUGCUUUGGUUGAAGUAAAUUUAUUGAAGUCUAAAUUGGAAGUUGUUACGGUGAAAAUAGAGAAUUUCAGAGAGUCGUUGAGUGUGGUUAAGAUUGAAAGAGACAACUUGAAGAAAAAAAUGAAGAAUUUAAAGCGUAUAAAUUACUUCGAGGUGAACAAAUCAAGAAAUUUGAAAGCGACAUUGUUGAGGUUGAAGAUGUUGUUUAUAUUGUCAUUUGUUGUGUUUGUGGGAUCAGAUAUGUUGUUGCAAUUUUCGAGUAGCGUAAUUUCUUGGUUGUAUAAGUGUAUGUUUUUCUUGAUUGCAACUUUGGAGUAUUUUCAAGUAACAUAAUUUCUUGGUUGUGUAAGUA